GAUGAAGAACGCAGCGAAAUGCGAUAAGUAGUGUGAAUUGCAGAAGUACCGUGAAUCAUCGAAUCUUUGAACGCAAAUUGCACUCUCUGGUAUUCCGGGGAGUAUGCCUGUUUGAGGGUCGCUUAACAAACCAUCGAUUUCGUUGCUUUUUUUUUUAAAGUGAUGUUUAUCGGAUUUCAGCCGUCUUUUUUUUUAUAUUUAAGUGGCUUAAAAUUGAUUUUUUUGGUACGAUCGAAGCGUAUUUUUAUGAUCAAUUUUUGGUUAAAGAAACGCACACGUACCGUUAUUUAUAUGAUGUAAUACGUUUGACUAUUGGAUUUAGUUCAUUCGUAUACGAUAUCUUUCAAUAUUUGACCUCAAAUCAGGUAAGAACACCCGCUGAACUUAAGCAUAUCAAUAAGCGGAGGA
RNAcentral lists this unclassified non-coding RNA (408 nucleotides) under soil metagenome. RNAcentral's name for it is "partial contains 5.8S ribosomal RNA, internal transcribed spacer 2, and large subunit ribosomal RNA". The stretch from base 1 to 121 matches the Rfam family "5.8S ribosomal RNA", at positions 35 to 154 of the family's 154-position model. The record is from RNAcentral.